CCGAUAAGAAGCUAUUUUCAAUAAAUCUUCAGCUCACAAAAAGUAUAUCAUAAACCACUGCUGCGCUUUGUGAAAUCAAAUACGAGUAAAUAGCUACAGCCUUUGUUCCCCUGGGGUUUCGAGUUGUCACUUUGCUAUUAGGAAAACGACCCUACAUAAUUAAGACAAGACUGAUGUAGAAACUCCAGAAGCAUCUUUUCAAUUUAAUAGAUUCUAAAAAUAACGGCUAUGCUUUUCCAAUAAUUUUGUUUGUUUCUCUUUAGGGAAAGGGGAAAGUAACAAUUGUUUUCCCGAAAAAGAGUAUGAAGUAAAACGUACAAUAAUAAUUGAAGGAAGUAACAAGUAUCGUUUGUUGUGUUUUGGAGCUGAACAACAUGGAGGACAGAGAAGAGAUAUCAUAUGUGAACCAGCAAGAAGCCAUAGAAAUUGAUCGGAUGUUGAUGGGUCCUCUUGCUUUUACUGUGGAUCAGCUCAUGGAAUUGGCUGGCUUGAGUGUUGCCUCUGCAAUUGGAGAGGUCUAUAGUUCAAGUGAAUAUACUCGCGUGCUUGUUAUAUGUGGUCCUGGUAACAAUGGUGGGGAUGGUCUUGUAGCUGCUCGACACUUGCAUCACUUUGGUUAUAAGCCAUCCAUUUGCUAUCCAAAACGGACUACUAAACCUCCUUUUGCUGGUUUGAUUAGCCAGCUUGAGUCACUGUCAGUUCCAUUCUUGCCAGUGGAGGAUCUACCCAUGCAGCUUUCAAGUGACUUUGAAAUAAUAGUAGAUGCUAUUUUUGGAUUCUCAUUCCAUGGGAACCCAAGGCCACCGUUUGAUAGUCUCAUUAGAAGGUUGGUCUCCAUGAGAAAGCAGCAGCGCGCACAUGAGAAAGCAGCUGUCAUUAUAUCCGUAGACAUACCUUCCGGGUGGCAUGUGGAAGAGGGAGACGUUUGUGGUGAAGGCAUUGAACCUGAUAUGCUGGUUUCUUUGACUGCUCCAAAAUUGUGUGCCAAAAUGUUUUGUGGACCACAUCAUUUUUUGGGUGGAAGAUUUGUUCCACAAUCCGUCAUAGACAAAUUCAAGCUAAAACUUCCAUCAUAUCCCGGCACUUCCAUGUGUGUUAGAAUUGGAAAUCUUCCACAACCCAAUUUAUCAGCACCGAAAGGAAUAUUUGCAGCUUCUUUAUCUCUUGAGGUGGAGGAAGAUCCUAUUGAUCAGUUUCAAAAGUGGCUUGGUGAUGCAUUGGCAGCUGGCGUCAAAGAACCCCAUUAUAUGGUCAUGUCAACAGCUGGUAAAGAUGCAAAACCUUCAUCGCGGAUGAUAUCAUUGGAAGGAGUAAACAAAGAUGGUUUUGUCUGGCAUACCAACUAUGGGAGUCGAAAGGCUCGUGAAAUUUCUGAAAAUCCUCAUGCAUCACUUCUCUUUUACUGGUGUUCUUUGAAUUGCCAGAUAAGAGUGGAGGGAUUUGUGGAGCAAGUUUCUGACGAGGAAUCUGAUCAAUACUUCUCUAGUCUUCCUCGAGAUGCCCAGAUUAGACCAAUAGUUAGCAAGCAGUUAGUUUUCAAUCUAUUCUGCAAGUUCAGAGCACAUCGAUUAAUGGACGAGAGGUUCUCUAUCAACAGUACAAAGAAUUAGAGGACGAGUACCAUGAAAGAUUCAGGUGAACCCAAAAGCAAUCCUUUUUUGCCUAACAUGCAGGACUUCAAUACCAAGACCCAAACACUGGGGAGGUUACAGGCUUAUUCCAGAGUUUUUUGAGUUUUGGCAGGGAGAGGAAUCUCAAGUGCAUCUCAAAUUGCGGUACUAUGUGGAGGAGAUCGAUGGAAGAAAAGUAUGGAGAGUUGAUAAAUUGGUCCCACUAUUAGCCGAAUCAACAUCUUCAUUAUGACUUACCAUAUUGAACCUUAGCAAAAGUUGCAGGCCAUGACAGCAGCUCUCAAUUAGAUCUUCCCUUUUUAUGUGUCCCUUCUGAUUACCUUUUCUUGGGUCAGGAUGUUGCCCUUAGGAGGUGAUAUUUCUGUAUAUAUGUGUAUGCCAAAAAGUUAACUUACAUGUUAUCUCCUUAUAUAUAUCUCCUUGUUGAUUUGCA
Capsicum annuum is the source of this 2064-nucleotide RNA transcript. It is a transcript of the gene named pyridoxine/pyridoxamine 5'-phosphate oxidase 1, chloroplastic, with no coding region annotated. NCBI's taxonomy places the organism in Eukaryota, Viridiplantae, Streptophyta, Magnoliopsida, Solanales, Solanaceae. The transcript is spliced from 13 exons. The record is from RefSeq and is a predicted model, not a curated record.